CUUUAAAGUCGAAAUAGUCUUAAAAGAACUAAGCAUUGUUGAGAACAUUUGAAGAUUUCAAGAGGAUUUGCCCAUUUUGAGUUUCAGAUCUUCAAGUGUUCCUUGAUCAGUUGAGUCUUUGUUUUGAUCUUGUACUGGUUCGUAUUGUAUAUGCUCAUAUAAUAAGUUUUAUCAUAUUAGGCUCUGUUUGAUGAAGACUUUUGGGUAUCCUCUUUUUUUUUUUUUUUUCAGGGGUCAGGCAGGUCCCACAGGCACCACAUCAGCACAAAAGCCGUUCUUUUGCAACAAGCCUCCCACAUCAUUAUAUAAAUUGAAGAACCACUACUAGUUUUCACUUUAUGCAAUUUUUACCUUUAAAAGAAAGCUUUCUGUAAUUUUUUGUGAGGCUUCAUGGAAAAUGGCAUGCUCAAAUUUGAUGUGCACCUGCAGGGCCUGGCUGUCCCCCAACAAAAGGAUAUCCCAGAAAUUUCACCAACUGGAGCGUAGGGCUUCAGCAGUUUGGGUUUUCUUAGAGGGUUCUAAUGUGUGCUGUCAUUGGCGUGUCAAUCUUGGAAAAUGAAACAUCAUUUGGUAACAGCAGCACAUGCAGGAAUAGCUGGUAGAAGGCUAUGAUGAUGAUAAAGCACGCAGGGAUACCAAAAAUGGGGUAUCUACAAAAUCGGCAUGUAUGUUUGUAUCACAAUCACUCCUGCAUCGUUAAUUCUUACUGAAGAUGACCCCAGUAAGUUCUCCUAGUUCAUCCAUUGGUUUGCUAGUCCCACACCCACCUUUAAAUCUGACACAUGUACCAAACUAGCAAGUCUGUGGAGCAUCUGAGUGGUGCAUAAGGUAUCUCCCACAUGGUGAUCAUGGGCAACCUGAUCUCUCUGGCUUCGGACCAUGAUUUUUCAGUUCUUCGGUCCUCCACGGAGCUCACAAUGGGUGGCGUUUUAACCUAGAGGCUGGAUAUAUCAGACUCAGUGAUUAUUAUUGGCAAAGGCCGUAGAUUUAUCUUGGAGGCGGUGGAUCCCAAAUCCGUGUACUUGUCCUUGUAGACAAUGUGCGUAUAGUAAUGUCUGCAUUCUCAGCUCCAGGCAAAGCUGAUUCUCAGAUUAGAGCCAUUGUGCUUGCCAUUAGGGAGGCAGUUCAAAUCAUUCACAACCAGUUUGGCCAGCUUUCCAUCGUCGUGGAGUUGCCUGACAGAUCUGUUUGGGUUAUCCUUGGAGUCUGGAUUGUAUUUUCAAAGAGUUAGAUCUAUGGGUGGGGCGUUAAAACAUUUCGUCUACUCCUUCAACCGAUGAUCCUAAUCUGAUGGUGCUUGAUUUAGCAAUUACAUUCAUCUUCCUUGGUUCUUAUAAAUUUUGUUAAUCUUUAGAAACAAGAUAUCUAAAUGGGUCACAUGUGUAUGUUAAAUGUGGACCUUUAGCAAGUUAUCUUAAACCAUUAUUCUUUCAUGUAGGGGUGACUGACCUGAUGAGUGGACUGACCUGAAUUUUUUUUUUUUCUUAUCGUUAUCUUUCGGAAGGGGGGCACCUUGUGCCUUUGCUCAGAUGUCUCACACAUUUGCCAGGCUAGUAUCAUGGAGCUUCUCUUGCCCGCAUCCUAGACAAUGAACUUAGUAGCACUGGUACCAAAUUUCAUCUCACGUCACUUCCAUCAAGUUUGGAAUGAAUUCUUGCUUCUGUUUGAAGUGGAGUGGGUGCCACCGGGCUCACUGUAGAUGUGUUUUUGCUCUCAUGGCACGGAGGAGGGAGUGGAACAAGGGGGGUAAAAAAUCUGGAGAUUGGCCAUGCUUGCAGGAUUAUGGGGCUUUUGGAGAGAGGAACAAUAGUUGUUUUACAAAUCGUAAAGGGAUACUAGUGGAUGUGUUUACGAGGGCUAAAGGGCAGGUUGAGGAAUGGGCUGUGGCUCUAAAUCUCUAUAGCUAAUGUCCUAUUUCUUGCAGUUGUUGUAAUCUAUUGUUUUGUUUUUGUUUUCCUUGGCUUUGGCCCUUUUAAUGAAAAACAAAUAAAUUUGAACGGUAACAAUAAUUAUU
Long non-coding RNA from Magnolia sinica, 2014 nucleotides. RefSeq lists it as uncharacterized. Lineage: Eukaryota; Viridiplantae; Streptophyta; Magnoliopsida; Magnoliales; Magnoliaceae. The record is from RefSeq and is a predicted model, not a curated record. The transcript has 3 exons.